GCCUGGCUAGCUCAGUCAGUAGAGCAUGAGACUCAUAAUCUCAGAGUCGUGGGUUCGUGCCCCACAUUGGGUA
This 73-nucleotide transfer RNA is filed under the name Neotoma lepida (desert woodrat). It matches the Rfam family "tRNA". From Rfam's summary of the family: Transfer RNA (tRNA) molecules are approximately 80 nucleotides in length. Their secondary structure includes four short double-helical elements and three loops (D, anti-codon, and T loops). Further hydrogen bonds mediate the characteristic L-shaped molecular structure. tRNAs have two regions of fundamental functional importance: the anti-codon, which is responsible for specific mRNA codon recognition, and the 3' end, to which the tRNAs corresponding amino acid is attached (by aminoacyl-tRNA synthetases). tRNAs cope with the degeneracy of the genetic code in two manners: having more than one tRNA (with a specific anti-codon) for a particular amino acid; and 'wobble' base-pairing, i.e. permitting non-standard base-pairing at the 3rd anti-codon position. Lineage: Eukaryota; Metazoa; Chordata; Mammalia; Rodentia; Cricetidae. The record is from Rfam by way of RNAcentral.